UGUGAACUCGAAGAGUAGGGCGGGACACGUGGUAUCCUGUCUGAAUAUGGGGGGACCAUCCUCCAAGGCUAAAUACUCCUGACUGACCGAUAGUGAACCAGUACCGUGAGGGAAAGGCGAAAAGAACCCCGGCGAGGGGAGUGAAAAAGAACCUGAAACCGUGUACGUACAAGCAGUGGGAGCACCUUCGGGUGUGACUGCGUACCUUUUGUAUAAUGGGUCAGCGACUUAUAUUCUGUAGCAAGGUUAACCGUAUAGGGGAGCCGCAGGGAAACCGAGUCUUAACUGGGCGUUAAGUUGCAGGGUAUAGACCCGAAACCCGGUGAUCUAGCCAUGGGCAGGUUGAAGGUUGGGUAACACUAACUGGAGGACCGAACCGACUAAUGUUGAAAAAUUAGCGGAUGACUUGUGGCUGGGGGUGAAAGGCCAAUCAAACCGGGAGAUAGCUGGUUCUCCCCGAAAGCUAUUUAGGUAGCGCCUCGUGAACUCAUCUUCGGGGGUAGAGCACUGUUUCGGCUAGGGGGUCAUCCCGACUUACCAACCCGAUGCAAACUACGAAUACCGAAGAAUGUUAUCACGGGA
This 582-nucleotide ribosomal RNA is filed under the name Klebsiella aerogenes. RNAcentral's name for it is "partial 23S ribosomal RNA". It matches the Rfam family "Bacterial large subunit ribosomal RNA", at positions 398 to 982 of the family's 2925-position model. RNAcentral also lists the same sequence under 1 other name. The record is from RNAcentral. Lineage: Bacteria; Pseudomonadati; Pseudomonadota; Gammaproteobacteria; Enterobacterales; Enterobacteriaceae.